This 253-nucleotide ribosomal RNA is filed under the name uncultured bacterium. Its description in RNAcentral is "partial 16S ribosomal RNA". It matches the Rfam family "Bacterial small subunit ribosomal RNA", at positions 524 to 776 of the family's 1533-position model. The record is from RNAcentral.
GACGUAGGGGGCCAGCGUUGCUCGGAAUUACUGGGCGUAAAGGGUUCGUAGGCGGUGCGGCAAGUUGGGAGUGAAAUCUCUGGGCUUAACCCAGAGGCUGCUUCCAAAACUGCCGUGCUAGAGUGCGAGAGAGGCCAGUGGAAUUGCAGGUGUAGCGGUGGAAUGCGUAGAUAUCUGGAGGAACAACGGUGGCGAAGGCGGCUGGCUGGAUCGCAACUGACGCUGAGGAACGAAAGCUAGGGGAGCGAACAGG